GGGGAAUUUUGGACAAUGGGCGCAAGCCUGAUCCAGCCAUGCCGCGUGCAGGAUGAAGGCCUUCGGGUUGUAAACUGCUUUUGUACGGAACGAAAAGGUGCCUUCUAAUAAAGGGCGCUCAUGACGGUACCGUAAGAAUAAGCACCGGCUAACUACGUGCCAGCAGCCGCGGUAAUACGUAGGGUGCGAGCGUUAAUCGGAAUUACUGGGCGUAAAGCGCGCGCAGGCGGUUUUGUAAGACAGAGGUGAAAUCCCCGGGCUCAACCUGGGAACCGCCUUUGUGACUGCAAGGCUGGAGUGCGGCAGAGGGGGAUGGAAUUCCGCGUGUAGCAGUGAAAUGCGUAGAUAUGCGGAGGAACACCGAUGGCGAAGGCAAUCCCCUGGGCCUGCACUGACGCUCAUGCACGAAAGCGUGGGGAGCAAACA
This 426-nucleotide ribosomal RNA is filed under the name uncultured bacterium. Its description in RNAcentral is "bacterial SSU rRNA". It matches the Rfam family "Bacterial small subunit ribosomal RNA", at positions 356 to 774 of the family's 1533-position model. The record is from RNAcentral.